GUUCUUCACUAGAUGCACAAAGAGAAUCACUACUAAAAUUGGAACGAUACAGAGAAGAUUAGCACGGCCUCCUGUGCGCAAGGACAACACGCAAAAUCGUGAAGCGCCAAUACUUAUU
RNAcentral lists this small nuclear RNA (118 nucleotides) under Astyanax mexicanus (Mexican tetra). Lineage: Eukaryota; Metazoa; Chordata; Actinopteri; Characiformes; Acestrorhamphidae. The record is from RNAcentral.